Molecule: long non-coding RNA, 1040 nt
Organism: Larimichthys crocea (large yellow croaker)
Lineage: Eukaryota; Metazoa; Chordata; Actinopteri; Sciaenidae
Exons: 3
Source: RefSeq, a predicted model, not a curated record
GACAGGUCCAUUGGUCGCUUCAUUGAAUUUAAACAAAGACAUUUAUCAGACAAAAAGAUCCAUCAGAGACCAGAUUCUGCUGGACAUGGACCUGGACCUGAACCUGAACCUGGACCCAGCUGUGUGUCCUUCAAGAGUGACAGGUCCAUUGGUCGCUUUAUUGAUUUUAAAGAUGUCCGACCGUCUGCUGCACAGAGGUCAGCUGUUAAUAACAUUAAAAUCUGACUGAUUCAUGUUUGAACUGUUAUUUAUCCAGACAAGUUUUUUAAACCUGAAUGUUUAUUUUCAGCUUCGUUCUUCAGAAACAUUUAGAUUCUCACAUCUGAAAACUGACCAGUAGAACCAGAAGAACCAGUAGAACUAGUAGAACCAGUAAGACCAGUAGAACCAGUAGAACCAGUAGAACCAGUAGAAGCCGUCUUCAUCUCUUGGCUUCAGUUCCACAUUUUCUCCACACAGACGUUCUGACUGUUGUCUGACUGCAUGAGUAUAAAACAGUGAUUUUAUUGAGGCUAACAGAUGCUAGCUGCUAACGAAGGCUAACCCUGAUUCCACUGAGUUCCUCCAUCAAAUCAACAUUUUCUAGUUUUCAGUCACGUGACAACGGAAUAGAAACAUGUCAGUGAUAACAGCUGGACUGAGAUCAGCUGCUCUGCUCAUCUUGUCUGAGUGUUGUCAAUCAUACGUCAGCUCUUUGUUUCCCUUCAACAUGACAGAACUGUUCUUACAUUGAUUCACUCUGGAGUUCUUGAAGAGAAGUUUUGUUUUCAGUCGUGGAGAACAGUUCUGCUGGAUGACAGGAGAAAACAAGCAGAACAUUGUUUUGUCAAAUGUAUCCAGAACACAUUGUUUCACUUUGUAGAUCACUCUCUGUGCGUUUACGGUUAUUUUUGAGACAGAAAUAACUCAAUAUAGUCGCUGCUUCACCAUUUUAGCUGCCUCUCUGGUUGGGAUGCAUGUAAACAGUGAGGUCACAUCGUAGGACACCAUGGUUUCAUCUGUGUCCAGUUUCAGUCCACGAACCUUGUUUACAAAGUCCA